Long non-coding RNA from Oryzias melastigma (Indian medaka), 1125 nucleotides. RefSeq lists it as uncharacterized. Lineage: Eukaryota; Metazoa; Chordata; Actinopteri; Beloniformes; Adrianichthyidae. The transcript is spliced from 3 exons. The record is from RefSeq and is a predicted model, not a curated record.
GAGCUGAUGAAAUAGUAAUGACGCGGGGGGUGUAUUUUUGUCCUGACCCCAGCCCCCAUAAGGCACGGCGGUGUCUGACUUCCUCCAGAGUCGCACGUCCCGAAGGACAGUCAGCCACGGAGCUGCUGAACGAAGCCAAAUUAGACAGACUAUAGGUGUCAGAUCACCUGGGAAAACCGGGAGAAACAUAACAGACGAAAAGAGGGAUAAACUCUUCCUUCUUUCUGUUGUAUCUUCUAUUUCUCGUGUCAAAGUCAAGGCCCGGGGGCCGGAUCCGGCCCUCCAGCCUCAGCAGCUCCUCCUGAUGAGUUAGUCGAUGUGAUGUGAAAGGCUUUUAUUAAGGCACCUCUGCGUUUGGGGAGAUCUCAUCUCAGCUGACCCGUGAGAGGCUUGCUGAGGCUCAGAAGUGCCGAGUCUGGCUUGUUUUUUGAUUUCCUUCUGCAACUGUCCAACACCAAAAGGACCCGGCGCAGCAGCCUUCACAGAUGCCUGCACAAGCCGAGGCGACGAGCAUGUGACUGCUGCCUGCCGAGUGCUGGCACUGCCGUGAUUCAGGCACCGUUGAGGAUCCCGGAUCUCCGAGGUGCAUGUCUGAAACGUAAUAUGAGACGGUGAAAGGACAGAAGUCCCACUCCCGUCAUCUAUUCAUCCGUUUUCAGAGCAUUCCCAGUCUUUGGAUUAUGACGUUUUUACUCAACAUUUAUUUAAAAAACGGUUGUGUUCUAGGAUACAAGUUCAUUAGAAAUUCACCUGUGAGUUGUGGGCGGGGCUUUUGGUGCAGAAUAAGCCCUCCUCUAUUUCCCAUCAUCCAUUAGUUUACACGCUCUCUUGCAAUCAUUACAAACUGUGAGAAAUAUCAAAGCUGUCCAGUUGUACAGUUCAACAAAGACGUUCAUGGAUCUAUUUGUAAGUGGAUGCAUCCGAAUGGGGCGGAGCUUGUGGCUCACUGAGUGUAGCACCUGUGUCACAUCACUGCAACACAUUCUCAUUCCCAAGUCGUCAUAUAUUGACGUUGGGUUAAGGACUCAAAAACAUCAAACGUGACAUGGAACGGUCCUUAACCGAACGGCAGUCCUUGAUGACUUGGAGAUGUGUUGGUCACACCUACAAGCUUUUCAAACAAUC